Long non-coding RNA from Helianthus annuus (common sunflower), 955 nucleotides. RefSeq lists it as uncharacterized. The record is from RefSeq and is a predicted model, not a curated record. NCBI's taxonomy places the organism in Eukaryota, Viridiplantae, Streptophyta, Magnoliopsida, Asterales, Asteraceae. The transcript is spliced from 4 exons.
CCCCAAAAUCCAAAUCACUUGUUGGUACACGCACGUUCCUACUUUUCCUCAAAAAACUCCUUUUCACCAAAAUUUAUUCAUAAGCCCCAUGAUUUCAGUUGAAAGUCUCACAACAACUUUCAGAGAAGACAAAUCAAGCAGGGAGCUCGAAGAAGAUGUUACAGAAGGAGUGAAGGUGGAAUCGAGCAGGGAGCUCGAGGAAGAUGUUACAGAUACACUGACGAGAAUUUCAACCUCAAGUUCUCUACACGGUCUCGUUGUUUUAAUAUCUGCGCCACAGCUGAUAUAGUAUUUGCUAAACCUAAGUUCUAAAUUGUUAUUCAUAUUUGAAUUUGCAGUAAUUUAGAUUUCUAAUUAUUUUAUGUUUUUUUAUAUGUAAUGUGAAGCUAAUAAAGUGCUUCGUUUCCCGGAACUCGGAAACUGUUUUGCUUUCAUUUGGAACAAGAUACAACUUGAUUGUUGAAUUGAAGGAUUGAUAUUGGGUUAAGCUUGGAUUUGUGCUAAGAGAUCUAUUAGAGAGAACAACUAAUAAUUACGUGUCAAUUUGUAAACUUGAGGUUUGCCCCUAUGGAAUUUUGUAUCCAUUUGAAGAUUAUAGUUUGAACUCUUCAUGGUCCUUCAAUGUUCAGAAGCAAACACACUUGAAUCUUUUUCAACUUUGACAACGAGUAACGAAGUUAAAACAAGAUAUAGUAGAGAAGUGUGCUAUGAUGGAGAAAAUUGAAGAAAAUGCAAGUUAUACAUUUGAACGACCGAGAUAUCAAUCGUUAUCACAAAACCCGCCAGAAAAUUUUCCGUCAUGUUUAGAUAUGGUUUGUUAGAAAACUUUAUAAUUCAUAUAUUUAUUAUAUAUAUAUAUUGUAUUGCUUUAAGAUAAUUUGGAUCAUUGUUGUAAUACAUGUGCAUAUUGAAAUUUGAUUUCAUAUUUAUCUUUGGUAUAAUGUGUAUCUACUUA